This 1372-nucleotide ribosomal RNA is filed under the name uncultured bacterium. Its description in RNAcentral is "bacterial SSU rRNA". It matches the Rfam family "Bacterial small subunit ribosomal RNA", at positions 28 to 1381 of the family's 1533-position model. The record is from RNAcentral.
GAUGAACGCUGGCGGCGUGCCUAAUACAUGCAAGUCGAGCGAACGGACGAGAAGCUUGCUUCUCUGAUGUUAGCGGCGGACGGGUGAGUAACACGUGGAUAACCUACCUAUAAGACUGGGAUAACUUCGGGAAACCGGAGCUAAUACCGGAUAAUAUUUUGAACCGCAUGGUUCAAAAGUGAAAGACGGUCUUGCUGUCACUUAUAGAUGGAUCCGCGCUGCAUUAGCUAGUUGGUAAGGUAACGGCUUACCAAGGCAACGAUGCAUAGCCGACCUGAGAGGGUGAUCGGCCACACUGGAACUGAGACACGGUCCAGACUCCUACGGGAGGCAGCAGUAGGGAAUCUUCCGCAAUGGGCGAAAGCCUGACGGAGCAACGCCGCGUGAGUGAUGAAGGUCUUCGGAUCGUAAAACUCUGUUAUUAGGGAAGAACAUAUGUGUAAGUAACUGUGCACAUCUUGACGGUACCUAAUCAGAAAGCCACGGCUAACUACGUGCCAGCAGCCGCGGUAAUACGUAGGUGGCAAGCGUUAUCCGGAAUUAUUGGGCGUAAAGCGCGCGUAGGCGGUUUUUUAAGUCUGAUGUGAAAGCCCACGGCUCAACCGUGGAGGGUCAUUGGAAACUGGAAAACUUGAGUGCAGAAGAGGAAAGUGGAAUUCCAUGUGUAGCGGUGAAAUGCGCAGAGAUAUGGAGGAACACCAGUGGCGAAGGCGACUUUCUGGUCUGUAACUGACGCUGAUGUGCGAAAGCGUGGGGAUCAAACAGGAUUAGAUACCCUGGUAGUCCACGCCGUAAACGAUGAGUGCUAAGUGUUAGGGGGUUUCCGCCCCUUAGUGCUGCAGCUAACGCAUUAAGCACUCCGCCUGGGGAGUACGACCGCAAGGUUGAAACUCAAAGGAAUUGACGGGGACCCGCACAAGCGGUGGAGCAUGUGGUUUAAUUCGAAGCAACGCGAAGAACCUUACCAAAUCUUGACAUCCUUUGACAACUCUAGAGAUAGAGCCUUCCCCUUCGGGGGACAAAGUGACAGGUGGUGCAUGGUUGUCGUCAGCUCGUGUCGUGAGAUGUUGGGUUAAGUCCCGCAACGAGCGCAACCCUUAAGCUUAGUUGCCAUCAUUAAGUUGGGCACUCUAAGUUGACUGCCGGUGACAAACCGGAGGAAGGUGGGGAUGACGUCAAAUCAUCAUGCCCCUUAUGAUUUGGGCUACACACGUGCUACAAUGGACAAUACAAAGGGCAGCGAAACCGCGAGGUCAAGCAAAUCCCAUAAAGUUGUUCUCAGUUCGGAUUGUAGUCUGCAACUCGACUACAUGAAGCUGGAAUCGCUAGUAAUCGUAGAUCAGCAUGCUACGAAGAAUACGUUCCCGGGUCU